CAAAAUACAUAACUUAUCUGAUUCAGAAAAACUAACCGUCGCUGUCAUCAGCUUCGAUGGGCCAGCGUUGGACUGGUAUAGGUCUCAAGAAGAGAGGGAAGCAUUCAAGGGAUGGCAAGACUUGAAACAAAAGAUGUUGGUGAGAUUUCGAUUUAUCCGCGACGGCACAUUGGUGGGGCGUUUCCUUACCAUUAAGCAAGAGACGACUGUGGAAGAGUAUAGGAAUCGAUUUGAUAAGUAUUUGGCACCAGUAGCAUUUCUACAACCGGUGGUGUUGGAAGAGACAUUCAUGAACGGCUUGAGCCCGUGGUUGAAAUCAGAAGUGGAAACGUGGGAGCCCGUUGGACUGGCCCAAAUGAUGAAGAUGGCCCUAAAAAUAGAAAACAGAGAGCUGGUCCGGAAGGAAUGAGGGCUGAGCAGCGCGUAUGACAGCAAAGCGGCCCAGCGGACAGUCAAUGCGCGCAACGUUAACGCCCCCACGGCGAAUGAGAACUCGACAGCAAGCGGCUGGCCAAUGAGGACCAUUACGUUGAGAGAAGUAGCGACGGGGGAAAAUCGAUGGGAAGGACCCACUAAGAGGCUGUCGGACGCCGAAUUUCAAGCCCGAAGGGAAAAGGGGUUGUGCUUUCGAUGUGGGGAGAAAUACCAUGCGGGGCAUCGCUGUAAGACUAAAGACAGCAAAGAAUUGCGUAUGUUGCUAGUUAAGGAGAGCGGGGAAGAGUUGGAAAUCAUAGAGGAGGAAUAUUUCGACGCCGAGACAGAGAUGAAGCCACCGGAACUACAGGGCGUAGAAAACUUGAACAUAGAAUUAUCUAUCAACUCGGUGGUGAGCCUGACAAAUCCGGGAACCAUGAAGGUGAAGGGGAAGUUGGGGGAAGAAGAGGUAGUCGUCCUGAUAGAUUGUGGGGCUACCCACAACUUCAUUGCUGAGAAGUUAGUGGAGAAGUUACAGUUGCUAAUGAAAGAAACACCCAAUUAUGGAGUGAUACUGGGAUCGGGGGCAGCGAUAAAAGGGAAGGGCGUGUGCAGAGAGGUGGAGCUGUGGCUAGGGGACUGUAAGGUCACAGAUAGUUUCUUGCCCCUGGAGCUGGGAGGAGUCGAUGCCAUCCUGGGAAUGCAAUGGUUACACUCAUUAGGGACCACCGAAGUUGAUUGGAAAAACCUGAUAUUGACUUUCUAUGAGCAGGGCAGCAAGGUAGUCAUCAAAGGGGACCCGAGCCUCACAAAAACUCAAGUCAGCCUCAAAGGGAUGAUGAAGAACUGGGAUACGGAAGAUCAGGGGUACUUGGUGGAGUGUCGGGCUCUGGAAAAAAGGGACAUUGAAGAUCAGGAGGCAGGCGUCCAAAUCACUGAAACAGAGAAAGACAGAAUGGCAACGAUCAUUAGUAAGUACAGUGAUGUGUUUGAACAGCCGAGCAGAUUGCCACCCCUACGGGGAAUAGAGCAUCAUAUCUACCUAAAGCAGGGAACCGACUCGGUCAACGUUAGACCGUAUAGAUAUGCACACCACCAAAAGGAAGAGAUGGAGAGAUUGGUGGACGAGAUGCUCACUUCGGGGAUUAUCCGGCCAAGCACGAGCCCCUACUCCGGCCCAGUACUGUUAGUAAAAAAGAAGGAUGGGAGUUGGAGAUUCUGUGUGGAUUACAGGGCACUGAACAAUGUGACGAUUCCGGACAAAUUCCCAAUUCCAGUAGUUGAGGAACUCUUUGAUGAAUUGAAUGGGGCAGACAUCUUUUCAAAGAUUGACCUUAAGGCUGGAUAUCACCAAAUCCGGAUGUGCCCUGAAGAUAUCGAAAAGACAGCUUUCCGAACUCACGAGGGGCAUUAUGAGUUCAUGGUGAUGCCGUUCGGACUGACCAACGCCCCUUCAACUUUCCAAGCUUUGAUGAACCAGGUAUUUAAGCCUUUCUUGAGAAGAUUUGUACUUGUGUUCUUUGACGAUAUCCUGGUUUAUAGUAAGGGAAUGGAGGAGCACGCGCAACACCUUGAAGUGGUGUUGGGAAUUUUGAGAGAAAGCGAGUUAUAUGCUAACUUCGAUAAGUGCCAUUUUGCGCAACCAAGGAUCAGCUAUCUGGGGCACUAUAUUUCUGUGAAAGGCAUCGAGGUGGAUUCCGAAAAGAUUCGAGCAGUGAGAGAAUGGCCAGCACCUUCGAAUGUGAGGGAAAUGAGAGGAUUUUUGGGGCUUACCGGCUAUUACCGACGCUUUGUGCAAAACUAUGGAAGUAUAGCGGCACCUCUCACACAGCUAUUGAAAGCAGGGGCGUAUAAAUGGACAGAGGAAACCGAGGCAGCCUUUGAGAAACUCAAGAAGGCUAUGAUGACCCUCCCCGUACUAGCAAUGCCCGACUUUAACUUGCCAUUUGAGGUCGAAUCCGAUGCAUCAGGCUUUGGAGUAGGAGCAGUGCUGGUUCAGGCCAAAAGACCGAUUGCAUACUUCAGCAAGAUCUUAAGUAUGCGGGACCGGGCAAGACCAGUGUAUGAGCGCAAAUUGAUAGCAGUUGUGUGGGCUGUUCAACGAUGGCGACCAUACUUGUUGGGGAGAAAAUUUACAGUAAAGACGGACCAGAGAUUGCUUAAGUUUCUAUUAGAACAAAGAGUAAUCCAGCCGCAAUACCAACAAUGGAUAGCUAAAUUACUCGGCUAUUCGUUUGAAGUAAUAUACAAGCCGGGCUUGGAGAAUAAAGCCGCCGAUGCACUGUCCAGAAUGGGACCAACGGCACACUUGAAUCAGUUGACAGCCCCAGCGUUAUUGGAUGUGGAAGUAAUUCGGGAAGAAGUCAGAAAAGAUCCGGCCCUACAUGAGAUCUUCCUGUUAAUUGAAGAACAGGGCGUGGAAAUCCCACACUACACUUGCCAUCAAGGGAUACUGAAGUUCAAGGGAAGAUUGGUUCUAUCCAAAACUUCUACAUUAAUUCCUACCAUUAUGCACACCUAUCAUGACUCGGUGUUUGGAGGACAUUCAGGGUUCCUUAGAACAUAUAAAAGAAUGGCUGGUGAAUUGUACUGGAAGGGAAUGAAGAAAGACAUUCAGAAGUACUGCAAAGAAUGUAUGAUAUGCCAAAAAAAUAAAUCUUCUACCCUUUCCCCAGCAGGGUUGCUGCUGCCUCUAGAAAUUCCAGACGCCAUCUGGAAUGAUAUCUCCAUGGACUUCAUCGAGGGGUUGCCCAAAUCACACGGGUGGGAAGUGAUUCUGGUAGUUGUAGACCGGCUGAGCAAAUAUGCGCAUUUCCUCACCCUGAAACAUCCAUAUACCGCCAAGACAGUGGCCGAAGUGUUUGUCAAGGAGAUUGUAAGACUACACGGAUUCCCAAAGUCCAUAGUUUCAGACCGGGAUAAAAUCUUUCUCAGCCACUUUUGGUCCGAAAUGUUUAGGUUGGCUGGCACAAAAUUGAAUCAGAGCUCCUCCUAUCAUCCUCAAACGGACGGACAGACCGAAGUGGUUAACAAAAAUGUAGAAGCCUACCUAAGGUGUUUUUGCGGAGAGAAGCCAAGGGAAUGGAGCCAAUGGUUGCACUGGGCCGAAUACUGGUAUAACACGACAUACCAUGGGUCAAUUGGUAUCAACCCAUUUCAAGCGGUCUACGGAAGACUCCCACCACCUUUGAUCCAAUACGGAGAUAUGGAAACACCCAACUCCACGCUUGAUCAGCAACUAAGGGACAGAGAUAUCAUAUUGGGAGCAUUGAAGGAACACUUGCGGGUGGCCUAGGAAAGGAUGAAGAAAUUUGCAGACAUGAAAAGAAGAGAGGUAGAGUUUCAAACCGGGGAUUAUGUGUUCCUCAAACUGAGACCAUACAAACAAACAUCCCUUUGGAAGAAGCGCAAUGAAAAACUAUCACCUAAAUACUUCGGGCCCUACAGAAUUUUAGAAAGAAUCGGGACAGUGGCAUACAAGCUGGAAUUACCUAGCACUGCAGCCACUCAUCCGGUAUUCCAUGUCUCUCAGCUUAAAAAGGCAAGAGGGGACAUCAAAGAAACCCAACCCCUUGACCCUUAUGUCAACGAAUGUCAUGAGUGGAUCACCCAACCGGAGGAAAUCUAUGCUUAUCGAAAGAAUCAGGCCACAAAGGAAUGAGAGGUGCUGGUAAGCUGGAAGGGACUGCCCCCGCAUGAAGCCACUUGGGAAAACUGUGCAGAUUUGAAAGUACAAUUCCCCGAGUUAUACCUUGAGGACAAGGUGGAUUUAGAGGAGGAAAGUGAUGCUAGACCUCCAAUUUUAUUCACCUAUAACCGAAGAAAGAAGGACAAGGGGACACGUGGAAACAAUGAGGAAAGCAAGGAGCAGGGGACCAGCCAAGGGGGGGGGACCACAAGUUAGUUAGUAGUGGAAUUAAAAAAGGGAGCAGGCAGUACAGAGGUGGUACAAUCCAUGUCGGGUAAUAGGUGGGCUGCUCCCUCUUGAGGAAGGAAGGAAGGCAGGCUGAAGGAAUAGCAGAAGACCGUUGCUGCGCAGGGGUCUGGGCUUAAAAAUAAGCUGUUUCUUUGUUUUGUGAGGGUAUGAUGUUUUUGUGAUUGAGUAGUGAGGGACAUUUUGCUGCUUUGUGCUUUUCGUACCAUUUCAAAUCUCACACGUCAAUUUAACUGAGCUGGUGGCUGGUGUGACCAUUGGAAACAGUGUGUUUGGUUUAUCCCAGGCAAUGGUGUGUCAAUAUCCAAGGAAGAAAAAGUUCAUUUAUGUGCUUCUCGUAAUGAUACUACCUUCUCAUAUCAUCUGAAGUCUCAAAUUCCAGGA
Cucumis melo (muskmelon) is the source of this 4732-nucleotide RNA transcript. It is a transcript of the gene named protein arginine N-methyltransferase 1.6, with no coding region annotated. The transcript has 3 exons. NCBI's taxonomy places the organism in Eukaryota, Viridiplantae, Streptophyta, Magnoliopsida, Cucurbitales, Cucurbitaceae. The record is from RefSeq and is a predicted model, not a curated record.